This 267-nucleotide long non-coding RNA is filed under the name Capsicum annuum. Its description in RNAcentral is "long non-coding RNA (CANN_LNC008040)". The record is from RNAcentral. Lineage: Eukaryota; Viridiplantae; Streptophyta; Magnoliopsida; Solanales; Solanaceae.
AGUAACUCAGAACUCUAAUGGGCGAAUUUGUUUACAAUUUGAUAGCAAUCCUCCUAUCUAUAGAAAUUCUUUCUCAAUACUAAGAAGACUUCCUUCUAUUCAUCAUAUAUCUCCUAUAGAACCUCAGUAUGGCCCAGCUAGGAAUCGAGCGGCAUCUUUGCAUACUAUUAAUUCUGCAGAUUCGCAUAUUACACCUAAAGGUGUAGAAAAGAUAAAAAUCAACUCAAAAACUAAUAUAGUUCAAGAUUUCGAUAAUGAAAAUCCUAC